CAGCCGCCACGGGAAUACGGAGGGUGCAAGCGUUAGUCGGAAUUACUGGGCGUAAAGCGCACGCAGGCGGUUUGUUAAGUCAGAUGUGAAAUCCCCGAGCUUAACUUGGGAACUGCAUUUGAAACUGGCAAGCUAGAGUCUUGUAGAGGGGGGUAGAAUUCCAGGUGUAGCGGUGAAAUGCGUAGAGAUCUGGAGGAAUACCGGUGGCGAAGGCGGCCCCCUGGACAAAGACUGACGCUCAGGUGCGAAAACGUGGGGAGCAAACAGGAUUAGAUACCCGGGUAGUCCCUGUCUCUUAUAC
Molecule: ribosomal RNA, 301 nt
Filed under: uncultured bacterium
Lineage: Bacteria
Description: partial 16S ribosomal RNA
Rfam family: Bacterial small subunit ribosomal RNA
Source: RNAcentral